UUGUUUCAGAAAGAACAUCACAAUGUCUCUUGUCAAGAUUGUUGUUGCUGCUAUCGCUGCUGUCUGUGUCUUCUCAGGGAUGGCUCAAGCUGGUCAUGUAGCGGGACCUGGAUGCCAUGGAUUGUGUCCUGGAGCUGAAGAAGACGAUGAGUAGAAUGCCAACAAGUCAUCGAGUGAUUCACGUGAAGAUGUAGACACCGAUUAGAACAAAAAUCAAUGUUAUACUUGAAACAAUACAUGCUAUAACUGAAUAUGAA
Molecule: long non-coding RNA, 257 nt
Organism: Macrosteles quadrilineatus (aster leafhopper)
Lineage: Eukaryota; Metazoa; Arthropoda; Insecta; Hemiptera; Cicadellidae
Exons: 3
Source: RefSeq, a predicted model, not a curated record